GAGAACUUGCAGAAGGAAGGUGGAAUGGCAUCAGAUUAGAUGAAGAAGAGAACAAGGUAGUCAGUGAGGAAUAGGCACCACCUGGAGAAGGUGCAUCCGUGCUGAAUAACUGACCUGUGCUGGGAUGCUGGACAUGGCCAUGUGCAGAAAGCAGCUGCCUAUGAAAAUUUACCUGGGUAAGUGGGACACAGAAGGAAAAAUGAUGUACAAUGAAAACUGGAAGGAUUUCCAAGGAAAGAAAGAAUGACAGAGCCUGUAGAUGAAGACAUACCUGCAUGUUAAUGAGUAAAAAUCUGACCAGCAGUGAUCUUGUUAGAGAGAUAUGUAGACAAACAGUACUCUUCAAAUGUCAGGAGAGUUUGGAUUCAUCACCUAUCCCACUGCCCUGAGACCAAGAUCAGAAGUGAUUUCAUUCAUGAAGCCUCACUGCCAGAGCUCGUUAGUGAAGUGUGACAACAAGAGAAUAGAAAAAGAAAGAAAGAAAUCCCUCAAAGGGAAAGAGAAAAAGAAGGAAAAAGAAGGCAAAGAAGGCAAACCUGAUAUUCCGUCAGGGUACUGAGCAAAAGGCACCAGGAACCACUGGUGCCCACCUCCCAGAAUGCAGUUCCUUAGUUUGGGGACAGAACAGUCCCAGAGAGAAGCGCACUGGUGUUCCGAUCGGUAGUGACAGGACGAUCCUGAGUGAACAGAAGAUGAAUCAGUGGGUCAUCUUAGCACACAAUUGACCCCUACCUGAUGACACAUGGAGGAAGGCAGCCAGAAUGCUGGUGGCAGCCAUCCCUGGCAACGUGUGAUGGAUGGAGAUUUUGUGCCAAGAGUGAGCAUGGACUAUAGGCUCCCAACAACAGAUCU
RNAcentral lists this long non-coding RNA (852 nucleotides) under Phasianus colchicus (ring-necked pheasant). RNAcentral's name for it is "lncRNA (ENSPCLG00000002095.1)". Lineage: Eukaryota; Metazoa; Chordata; Aves; Galliformes; Phasianidae. The record is from RNAcentral.